CGUAAGGCUAAAUACUACUUAGUGACCGAUAGCGCAUAGUACUGUGAAGGAAAGGUGAAAAGGACCCCGGGAGGGGAGUGAAAGAGAACCUGAAACCCUGUGUUUACAAGCUGUGGAAGACGAAAGGUGAACCGCGUACUUUUUGUAGAACGGUCCGGCGAGUUGCGCGGCUGGCGAGGUUAAGGCUAAGGCCGGAGCCGAAGGGAAACCAAGUCUUAAGGGCGGUCAGUGGAGCAGACCCGAAACCGGGUGAUCUAUCCAUGUCCAGGUGAAGUUGCCGUAAAAGGCAAUGGAGGACCGAACCACAUCCGUUGAAAAGGGUGGGGAUGAGGUGUGGAUAGGGGAGAAAAUUCCAAUCGAACCCGGAGAUAGCUGGUUCUCCUCGAAAUAGCUUUAGGGCUAGCCUCAUACAAGUCUUGCGGAGGUAGAGCACUGAAUUUCCUAGGGGGCGUCAAAGCUUACCGAAGAAUAUCAAACUCCGAAUGCCGCGUAGAUGGUGUAUGGGAGUCAGACUGCACGAGAUAAGUUGGGCAGUCAAAGGGAAAGAGCCCAGACCUCAGCUAAGGUCCCAAAGUGUGUGUUAAGUGGAAAAGGAUGUGGGAUUUCAAAGACAACUAGGAUGUUGGCUCAGAAGCAGCCAUACAUUCAAAGAGUGCGUAAUAGCUCACUAGUCGAGAGGUCCUGCGCCGAAAAUGUCCGGGGCUGAAAACACACUGCCGAAGCUGGGAAUGCGAAGUAUUGGUAGAGGAGCAUUGCAGAGGAAGCAGUACCGGAAGGAGCGUGGAUAGAAGAGAGAAUGCCGGAAUGAGUAGCGAGAGGAAGGUGGGAAUCCUUCCGGCCGAAUAUCCAAGGUUUCCAGGGUAAAGCUGAUCUGCUCUGGGUAAGUCGGGGCCUAAGGCGAGGCUGAGAGGCGUAGUCGAUGGACAACAGGUUGAAAUUCCUGUACCAUGUAUCAUCAGAACUGUGGGGACACAGAAGGACAACACAUCCCGGGAAUGGAAUACCGGGGCAAGCGAGGUAGAGGGGGGGGGGAGGAGUACGGUUGGCAAAUCCGCCGUGCAAUCCGAAGACGUGACGCGCAGCGAACUAAAGUAGCGAAGUGUGUGAUUCGGCUGUCAAGAAAAGCCGCUAUUGUGUGAUACAUGCCCGUACCGUAAACCGACACAGGUAAGAUGAGGAGAGAAUCCUAAGGCCGGCGGGAGAAGCAUUGUUAAGGAAACUCGGCAAAAUGACCCCGUAACUUCGGGAGAAGGGUGCCACAGAGAUGUGGCCGCAGAGAAUAGGCUCAAGCAACUGUUUAGCAAAAAACACAGGUCUAUGCAAAACCGUAAGGUGAGGUAUAUGGGCUGACGCCUGCCCGGUGCUGGAAGGUUAAGAGGAGAGGUUAGAGCAAUCGAAGCUUUGAAUUUAAGCCCCAGUAAACGGCGGCCGUAACUAUAACGGUCCUAAGGUAGCGAAAUUCCUUGUCGGGUAAGUUCCGACCCGCACGAAAGGCGUAAUGAUUUGAGCGCUGUCUCAACAAUGCACCCGGUGAAAUUGAAAUACCAGUGAAGAUGCUGGUUUACCUGCGCCAGGACGGAAAGACCCCAUGGAGCUUUACUCCAGUUUGAUACUGGGAUUCGGUAUUGCAUGUACAGGAUAGGUGGGAGGCUGAGAAACAUGGACGCCAGUCUGUGUGGAGCCAAUGUUGGGAUACCACCCUUGCGAUAUUGGGUUUCUAACCUGCGCCCGUGACCCGGGCGGGGGACAAUGUCAGGCGGGGAGUUUGACUGGGGCGGUCGCCUCCGAAAGGGUAUCGGAGGCGCUCAAAGGUUCCCUCAGGAUGGUUGGAAACCAUCCAAAGAGUGCAAAGGCAUAAGGGAGCUUGACUUGCGACACCGACGGGUGGAGCAGGUACGAAAGUAGGACUUAGUGAUCCGGUGGUAUGAAAGUGGGAUUGCCAUCGCUCAACGGAUAAAAAGCUACCCUGGGGAUAACAGGCUUAUCACUCCCAAGAGUUCACAUCGACGGAGUGGUUUUGGCACCUCGAUGUCGGCUCAUCGCAUCCUGGGGCUGUAGCAGGUCCCAAGGGUUGGGCUGUUCGCCCAUUAAAGCGGUACGCGAGCUGGGUUCAGAACGUCGUGAGACAGUUCGGUCCCUAUCCGGCGCGGGCGUAGGAUAUCUGAGAGGAGCUGUCCUUAGUACGAGAGGACCGGGAUGGACAGACCGCUGGUGUACCUGUUGGCUUACCAAGGCCAUGGCAGGGUAGCCAAGUCUGGACGGGAUAAACGCUGAAGGCAUCUAAGCGUGAAGCCCCCCUCAAGAUGAGAUAUCCCAUCGCGAAAGCGAGUAAGACCCCUUGAAGACGACGAGGUAGAUAGGUUAGAGGUGGAAGUGCAGUAAUGUAUGGAGCUGACUAAUACUAAUCGGUCGAGGGCAUGACCAA
RNAcentral lists this ribosomal RNA (2425 nucleotides) under gut metagenome. Its description in RNAcentral is "bacterial LSU rRNA". It matches the Rfam family "Bacterial large subunit ribosomal RNA", at positions 459 to 2925 of the family's 2925-position model. The record is from RNAcentral.